GAAGGGUUCAUGAGAGAGACGCUACCGAGUGACCCAAAUACCAGCUCAAAGCUAAGACAGGAAGAAGCGUGCCGAAGGAAAUUCUUUGGUGCCUUAAGGUCAUCGUUACCUGUGGUCAUUGAUGAAGAAACAUUUCUCGCCCUUCGUACUCAAUCAGCAGUCAAAUCAUGAAGAUCAAAGUAGGAGAAGCCUCACUGCGAAUCAAGUGAAGACAAAAAUAGAUUUUCUACUUCGUGAUCUCUCUUUGACAAGGAACUCAGAAGACGGUUUAAGGUGCAUAUGCAAUAUAUUUUGGUUCAAGGAAACCAAAAAUUGAAAUAAAAAUGUAAUUGCGAAGGUAUCACAAUCAUAUUGAAAUGACAGAGUCCAUCAACACUACAGAAGAGUAAAGCGACAAGUCUAA
Molecule: non-coding RNA, 403 nt
Organism: Pantherophis guttatus
Lineage: Eukaryota; Metazoa; Chordata; Lepidosauria; Squamata; Colubridae
Source: RefSeq, a predicted model, not a curated record